Molecule: ribosomal RNA, 513 nt
Filed under: uncultured bacterium
Lineage: Bacteria
Description: partial 16S ribosomal RNA
Rfam family: Bacterial small subunit ribosomal RNA
Source: RNAcentral
GACGAACGCUGGCGGCAUGCCUAAUACAUGCAAGUCGAGCGAACAGAUGAAGUGCUUGCACUUCUGACGUUAGCGGCGAACGGGUGAGUAACACGUAAGGAAUCUACCUAUAAGCGGGGGAUAACAUUCGGAAACGGGUGCUAAUACCGCAUAAUAUCUUCUUCCGCAUGGAAGAAGAUUGAAAGACGGCUCUGCUGUCACUUAUAGAUGCCCUUGCGGCGCAUUAGUUAGUUGGUGGGGUAACGGCCUACCAAGACGAUGAUGCAUAGCCGACCUGAGAGGGUGAUCGGCCACAUUGGGACUGAGACACGGCCCAAACUCCUACGGGAGGCAGCAGUAGGGAAUCUUCCGCAAUGGGCGAAAGCCUGACGGAGCAAUGCCGCGUGAGUGAAGAAGGCCUUCGGGUCGUAAAACUCUGUUAUAAGAGAAGAACAAAUUGUAGAGUAACUGCUACAGUCUUGACGGUAUCUUAUCAGAAAGCCACGGUUAACUACGUGCCAGCCGCCGCAGUAA